Molecule: long non-coding RNA, 900 nt
Organism: Pipra filicauda (Wire-tailed manakin)
Lineage: Eukaryota; Metazoa; Chordata; Aves; Passeriformes; Pipridae
Exons: 2
Source: RefSeq, a predicted model, not a curated record
AAGGCGCCCGGGCCCCGCAGAAAGCGGCGGGGCCGGGCAGCAGCGACCGCGCCCUCGCACCUCGGCCCCGCCCGAGGCGGCCCCGGACAGGCGGGGACAGCCGGGCCCAGCUCCGCACCCUGGCACAGCCGGGAGACCUUACCUUUAUAAAAACUGAUUUCAACAAAGCGGGAUUAAGUACCUUUACAGAGACAACAAAUAGAAAGCACGCCCAGGAGUAAAAAAAUAAAAUGGGCACUAAUUCCGUUGGAAGCGACGCUGGAACAUUUGUUAGGACAGGCUUUCUCCGGGGCAGCUGGGCACAGGGCCAAGGCUCGCAGCUACCCAUCCUUCACAUUUGUGGAACAAGCUGAGCAAAACAAGACAACAUUAAAUGCUCUAGGAAGACACAUUUGAUCCUGUCCCCUUCGCUAAGAAGACAAGGAACGUCAUAAAACAGGUGUUCAACCCAUAAAACAGAGUUCUUAAAUGUCAGUCUAAGGAAAACAUUAGCAAGCUAGACCUGUAUGUUUACCUCAGUGUGGCAGUUCACAACUGAAAAACUAGCAUUUGCCCAGGAAUUUGCUGACUUUGUGGUUUCAGUUGCUUUUCAUCCUCUAUAUAAUACUUCCAUCACAUGUAACAAGACCUUUUACCAAUAUUUGUAGUGUUAUGCAAGAUAUAUUCAUGAAAGCACUAAAAAAAUGCAAACUGUUGUGUAUUCUCUUGCAGACCCCCUCCAGCAGGUACAACCACAAUUGCUACCGUGAUGCCCGCCCUGACACAAGUGCAGAAGGCAUGCACUGCCUUGGAAAAGGAAGCAAACCAGGGUGGCUGGUUUAUUGCAGUAUUCAAUAAGUUACCUGAGCUAAACAAAUACUUGAACUCAAACCUAACCUUGAUAAAGACACUUGGGCUUCA